RNAcentral lists this non-coding RNA (36 nucleotides) under Geobacter sulfurreducens PCA. The record is from RNAcentral. Lineage: Bacteria; Pseudomonadati; Thermodesulfobacteriota; Desulfuromonadia; Geobacterales; Geobacteraceae.
UUCAUGACUUUGCGGUACUUCUCAUAGGCUUCGGAU